ACGCUCGACACCUACGGGGAGGCAGCAGGUGGGGGAUAUUGCACAAGUGGGGGAAACCCUGAUGCAGCAACGCCGCGUGAAGGAAGAAGGUCUUCGGAUUGUAAACUUCUGUCCUCAGGGAAGAUAAUGACGGUACCUGAGGAGGAAGCUCCGGCUAACUACGUGCCAACAGCCGCGGUAAUCUGAGGCGGGCUGGCAAGGC
RNAcentral lists this ribosomal RNA (202 nucleotides) under uncultured bacterium. RNAcentral describes it as "partial 16S ribosomal RNA". It matches the Rfam family "Bacterial small subunit ribosomal RNA", at positions 328 to 539 of the family's 1533-position model. The record is from RNAcentral.